Molecule: small RNA, 143 nt
Filed under: Acinetobacter larvae
Lineage: Bacteria; Pseudomonadati; Pseudomonadota; Gammaproteobacteria; Moraxellales; Moraxellaceae
Description: Manganese sequence
Rfam family: Manganese Mn2+ riboswitch aptamer (yybP-ykoY) (bases 1-128)
About the family: This RNA was originally discovered in E. coli during a large scale screen and was named SraF. The family was later found to exist upstream of related families of protein genes in many bacteria, including the the yybP and ykoK genes in B. subtilis. The specific functions of these proteins are unknown, but this structured RNA element may be involved in their genetic regulation as a riboswitch.
Source: RNAcentral
CCGUACACUUCAUUGGGGAGUAGCCGCUGUUUACGCAGGUAAACAGGUGAUGAUCAACAUAAUUGCUCAACAGAGCGUGGUCAUCAUAGCAAAGUUCAAUGGUGCUUAGAAAUAAGCUAUCUUUUGUUGGCAAGACCUUUGAU